UACGUAGGGUGCGAGCGUUGUCCGGAAUUAUUGGGCGUAAAGAGCUCGUAGGCGGUUUGUCACGUCGGAUGUGAAAUCCCGGGGCUCAACUCCGGGUCUGCAUUCGAUACGGGCUGACUAGAGUUCGGUAGGGGAGACUGGAAUUCCUGGUGUAGCGGUGAAAUGCGCAGAUAUCAGGAGGAACACCGGUGGCGAAGGCGGGUCUCUGGGCCGAUACUGACGCUGAGGAGCGAAAGCGUGGGGAGCGAAC
RNAcentral lists this ribosomal RNA (250 nucleotides) under uncultured Actinomycetes bacterium. RNAcentral's name for it is "uncultured actinobacterium partial 16S ribosomal RNA". It matches the Rfam family "Bacterial small subunit ribosomal RNA", at positions 524 to 773 of the family's 1533-position model. The record is from RNAcentral. Lineage: Bacteria; Bacillati; Actinomycetota; Actinomycetes.